UACGAAGGGGGCUAGCGUUGCUCGGAAUUACUGGGCGUAAAGCGCACGUAGGCGGCUUUCUAAGUCGGGGGUGAAAUCCUGGAGCCCAACUCCAGAACUGCCUUCGAUACUGGAAAGCUCGAGUCCGGGAGAGGUGAGUGGAACUGCGAGUGUAGAGGUGAAAUUCGUAGAUAUUCGCAAGAACACCAGUGGCGAAGGCGGCUCACUGGCCCGGUACUGACGCUGAGGUGCGAAAGCGUGGGGAGCAAACAGG
This 253-nucleotide ribosomal RNA is filed under the name uncultured bacterium. RNAcentral describes it as "partial 16S ribosomal RNA". It matches the Rfam family "Bacterial small subunit ribosomal RNA", at positions 524 to 776 of the family's 1533-position model. The record is from RNAcentral.